This 982-nucleotide ribosomal RNA is filed under the name Psathyrella cernua. RNAcentral describes it as "eukaryotic LSU rRNA". The stretch from base 649 to 982 matches the Rfam family "Eukaryotic large subunit ribosomal RNA", at positions 1 to 327 of the family's 3401-position model. The record is from RNAcentral. Lineage: Eukaryota; Fungi; Basidiomycota; Agaricomycetes; Agaricales; Psathyrellaceae.
CCAGGUUUCCGUAGGUGAACCUGCGGAAGGAUCAUUAUCGAAUAACCUUGACGCGGUUGUAGCUGGCUCUUAGGAGCAUGUGCACACUCGUCACUUUUAUCUUUCCACCUGUGCACCCACUGUAGGCCUGGAUACCUCUCGCUUGGUUUCAAGCGGAUGCGAGGAUUGCUGCUGCUCUUUCUGCAAAGGAAGGCCGGCUCUCCUUGAAUUUCCAGGUCUAUGUUUUUCUUACAUACCCCAAUUGAAUGUUACCGAAUGUCAUCAAUGGGCGUACGCCUAUAAAACACAAUACAACUUUCAGCAACGGAUCUCUUGGCUCUCGCAUCGAUGAAGAACGCAGCGAAAUGCGAUAAGUAAUGUGAAUUGCAGAAUUCAGUGAAUCAUCGAAUCUUUGAACGCACCUUGCGCUCCUUGGUAUUCCGAGGAGCAUGCCUGUUUGAGUGUCAUUAAACUCUCAACCUCUUCAGCUUUUGUUGUUGAGGCUUGGAUGUGGGGGUUUUGCAGGUCUGCCUUAACUGUGCGGUCUGCUCCCCUGAAAUGUAUUAGCGGGUUGGCUUCCGUCUAUUGGUGUGAUAAUUAUCUACGCCGUGGAUGGGUUUGGCUUUCAGACCAGCUUCUAACUGUCCUUUGGACAACUCUUGACAUUUUUGACUUCAAAUCAGGUAGGACUACCCGCUGAACUUAAGCAUAUCAAUAAGCGAAGGAAAAGAAACUAACAAGGAUUCCCCUAGUAACUGCAAGUGAAGCGGGAAAAGCUCAAAUUUAAAAUCUGAUGGUCUUUGGCCGUCCGAGUUGUAUCCUAGAGAAUUGUUACCCGUGCCGGACCGUGUAUAAGUCUCCUGGAAUGGAGCGUCCUAGAGGGUGAGAAUCCCGUCUUUGACACGGACUACCGGGGCUUUUGUGGUGCGCUCUCAAAGAGUCGAGUUGUUUGGGAAUGCAGCUCAAAAUGGGUGGUAAAUUCCAUCUAAAGCUAAAUAUUGGC